Molecule: ribosomal RNA, 330 nt
Filed under: uncultured Bacillota bacterium
Lineage: Bacteria; Bacillati; Bacillota
Description: bacterial SSU rRNA
Rfam family: Bacterial small subunit ribosomal RNA
Source: RNAcentral
GACGAACGCUGGCGGCGUGCUUAACACAUGCAAGUUGAACGGAGCACUUAGAGUAGCAAUACAAUAAGUGCUUAGUAGCGGACGGGUGAGUAACGUGUGAGCAACCUACCUUUGUGAGGGGGACAACAGCUGGAAACGGCUGCUAAUACCGCAUGAGACCACGACCUCGAUUGAGGAUGUGGUAAAAGAUUUAUCGCACAAAGAUGGACUCGCAUCCCAUUAGCUAGUUGGUGAGGUAACGGCUCACCAAGGCGACGAUGGGUAGCCGACCUGAGAGGGUGAUCGGCCACACUGGAACUGAGACACGGUCCAGACUCCUACGGGUGGCAG